GAUGAGCCUGCGUAAGAUUAGCUUGUUGGUGAGGUAAUGGCUCACCAAGGCGACGAUCUUUAGCUGGUCUGAGAGGACGAUCAGCCACAUUGGGACUGAGACACGGCCCAAACUCCUACGGGAGGCAGCAGUAGGGAAUAUUGCACAAUGGAGGAAACUCUGAUGCAGCGAUGCCGCGUGAGUGAAGAAGGCCUUUGGGUUGUAAAGCUCUUUCGUCGGGGAAGAAAAUGACUGUACCCGAAUAAGAAGGUCCGGCUAACUUCGUGCCAGCAGCCGCGGUAAUACGAAGGGACCUAGCGUAGUUCGGAAUUACUGGGCUUAAAGAGCUCGUAGGUGGUUAAAAAAGUUGAUGGUGAAAUCCCAAGGCUCAACCUUGGAACUGCCAUCAAAACUUUUUAGCUAGAGUGUGAUAGAGGUAAGUGGAAUUUCUAGUGUAGAGGUGAAAUUCGUAGAUAUUAGAAAGAACACCAAAUGCGAAGGCAACUUACUGGGUCACUACUGACACUGAGGAGCGAAAGCAUGGGUAGCGAAGAGGAUUAGAUACCCUCGUAGUCCAUGCCGUAAACGAUGUGUGCUAGACGUUGGAAAUAUAUUUUUCAGUGUCGCAGCGAAAGCAUUAAGCACACCGCCUGGGGAGUACGACCGCAAGGUUAAAACUCAAAUGAAUUGACGGGGACCCGCACAAGCAGUGGAGCAUGUGGUUUAAUUCGAAGAUACGCGCAGAACCUUACCAACGCUUGACAUGUUCGUCGCGAAACUAAGAGAUUAGUUUCUUCAGUUCGGCUGGACGAAACACAGGUGCUGCAUGGCUGUCGUCAGCUCGUGUCGUGAGAUGUUGGGUUAAGUCCCGCAACGAGCGCAACCCUCACUUUUAGUUGCCAUCAUUAAGUUGGGCACUCUGAAAGAACUGCCAGUGAUAAGCUGGAGGAAGGUGGGGAUGACGUCAAGUCCUCAUGGCCCUUACGUGUUGGGCUACACACGUGCUACAAUGGCAUUUACAAUAGGAAGCAAGAUGGCGACGUCAAGCAAAUCCUAAAAAGAUGCCUCAGUUCGGAUUGUACUCUGCAACUCGAGUACAUGAAGCUGGAAUUACUAGUAAUCGCGGAUCAGCGCGCCGCGGUGAAUACGUUCCCGGGUCUUGUACACACCGCCCGUCACACCAUGGGAGUUGGUUCUACCUUAAGGCAAGGUUUUAAACCCUUGACCACGGUAUAGUCAGCGACUGGGGUGAAGUCGUAACAAGGUAGCCGUA
Molecule: ribosomal RNA, 1252 nt
Filed under: uncultured bacterium
Lineage: Bacteria
Description: bacterial SSU rRNA
Rfam family: Bacterial small subunit ribosomal RNA
Source: RNAcentral